This is a long non-coding RNA of Polyodon spathula (Mississippi paddlefish), 1471 nucleotides long. RefSeq lists it as uncharacterized. Lineage: Eukaryota; Metazoa; Chordata; Actinopteri; Acipenseriformes; Polyodontidae. The record is from RefSeq and is a predicted model, not a curated record. The transcript is spliced from 4 exons.
UAGCAAGCAAAAACCUUUGAAUAUUCAAACAGUAUUUAUUUAAUGUCUAACAUUAGUGUAGUUUUCCGUACACAUUGAUGUACUAGACUGGUGUGUGGCUCUGUAUAGUUCUCUUCAGCAAAACACGUUUCUGUAAGAGGUCGUCGGACAGCUGAUUUCUUUGGGGGCUGAAAAUCAAGCCAGCAAAAGUGAACAGACGCUCAACAGGAGCAGAGGAAGGAAGAAUGGUAUUAAAGCGUAUAAAUCGCUUCUUUAUUGAAGGAUAUUGCUCUAAAGAUGCAACAUCCUCCCUUAAGGGUCUUCAAGAAAAUGAAGGACUCCAGCUCAGUUUUGUUGCUUGUUGUCGAGAGAGUACUGGGAAACAUAGUUGCUAUCCAUAAAAACAAAGAAGUCAUCUUCUUCCUCUUGAAGGGGUCUCCCACUAUAAUAUUCUGAUACAAGGCCCAGCUCUUCAGCAGCCUGAAGCAUUAGUUGAUGGAAUCUUCUGGUGUCUCCAGAAAGACAGCGUGGCAGCCAGCGCAUCAUUGUUGAUUUAAAGUUACUCCCAAGACGAACUGAAUGGAAUUGAAAAGCAUCUUCUGAGGGAAACUUUUCAAGACACUAACCUCCUUCCUCAAGAGAUUCUGUGGAGAAGGAAGGAAGCGUUCAGUGACGGUGUCUGUUCAGAUAAGAAGUCUUGGUAUUCUAGUUACAGGAGCACAUUGAAUCUCAGCAGAAGAAUCAGCUGCCUCGUCGGUGCAAGGUAAAUGAUGUCCAAAUUGAAGAGGCAGCAGAGAGAUUUCCAUUCAACGAGCCAAAAACAAAAGGAUAUUUCUACCGGCAGGUGUUUGAAAAGUUUUUCCCUGGCAGAGAGGAGUGGCUGUCUCAUUAUUGGAUGCCCAAAUGGGUCAAUGCCACGGAUCCUUCUGCACACACACUGCCAAUUUACAAACUAGAAAAUUAAGCACAUAAUGAUGGGGUGCUAUAAAUCAUAAUGUAAAGCGCACUGCUUUGUGUGAUGAUUUAUCUUCAUAGAAGGCAGAAAGUAGCCAAUUUAGCUUUAAAUUAUAUUUUCAUAGUUGUUUUUUUUUUCUUGUGAUGUUUGCAGUUUCUGAGUCUUUCUUAUGGCAAUUAUUAAAAUGUAUGUCAGUGUUUUUGGGUGCUUUGGCCAGAAUUCAGAAGCAGUUCUAGAGUUCUAGAUGCCAGCCAUAGAAGUAUGUAAGACAGACUAGCUAGAUCAUGUCUUUAUGUUUGUAACUGCAAGCACUGUCUAACAAGCACCUGCUGUGGAUUUUGCUUCAGUCUGGCCCUAAGCACUAUAAAGACACCAUGAAUCUGAUCUGGCCUUUGUUAGUUGGCAACUAGUCUUUAUCUAUGACAACUAAAGACAGUAUUUAUUUUUACACCAUAAAAAGGUAGGAAACAGCAAAAGAGAUGCUUUUUCUUUAAUGCAGUAGUUAUGUUCAUGAUGAAACAAUAAAACCUGAAUUAC